GCGACGACCGGCGCACGGGUGAGUAACGCGUAUCCAACCUGCCCAUAACUAAGGGAUAAUCCGUAGAAAUGCGGUCUAAUACCUUAUGUGAUCCGAGGAAGACAUCUGAUUUGGAUUAAAGAUUUAUCGGUUAUGGAUGGGGAUGCGUCUGAUUAGAUUGUUGGCGGGGCAACGGCCCACCAAGUCUGCGAUCAGUAGGGGUUCUGAGAGGAAGGUCCCCCACAUUGGAACUGAGACACGGUCCAAACUCCUACGGGAGGCAGCAGUGAGGAGUAUUGGUCAAUGGGCGGAAGCCUGAACCAGCCAAGUAGCGUGCAGGAUGACGGCCCUAUGGGUUGUAAACUGCUUUUGCAGGGGGAUAAAGUGAGUCACGUGUGACUUAUUGCAGGUACCCUGCGAAUAAGGACCGGCUAAUUCCGUGCCAGCAGCCGCGGUAAUACGGAAGGUCCGGGCGUUAUCCGGAUUUAUUGGGUUUAAAGGGAGCGUAGGCCGUGGAUUAAGUGUGUUGUGAAAUGUAGGCGCUCAACGUCUGACUUGCAGCGCAUACUGGUCCACUUGAGUGCGCACAACGCGGGCGGAAUUUGUCGUGUAGCGGUGAAAUGCUUAGAUAUGACGAAGAACCCCGAUUGCGAAGGCAGCUCACGGGAGCGCAACUGACGCUGAAGCUCGAAAGUGCGGGUAUCGAACAGGAUUAGAUACCCUGGUAGUCCGCACGGUAAACGAUGGAUGCCCGCUUUUCGGUCAUUAGACCGUGAGGCCAAGUGAAAACAUUAAGCAUCCCACCUGGGGAGUACGCCGGC
Molecule: ribosomal RNA, 800 nt
Filed under: uncultured rumen bacterium
Lineage: Bacteria
Description: bacterial SSU rRNA
Rfam family: Bacterial small subunit ribosomal RNA
Source: RNAcentral